GAUGAACGCUGGCGGCGUGCUUAACACAUGCAAGUCGAACGGUGAAGGCGGAGCUUGCUCUGCUGGAUCAGUGGCGAACGGGUGAGUAACACGUGAGCAAUCUGCCCCUGACUCUGGGAUAAGCGCUGGAAACGGCGGCUAAUACCGGAUACGAGCUGCGAAGGCAUCUUCAGCAGCUGGAAAGAAUUUUGGUAAGGGUUGAGCUCGCGGCCUAUCAGCUUGUUGGUGAGGUAAUGGCUCACCAAGGCGUCGACGGGUAGCCGGCCUGAGAGGGUGACCGGCCACACUGGGCCUGAGGAGCGACCCAGACUCCUACGGGAGGCAGCAGUGGGGAAUAUUGCACGAUGGGCGGAAGCCUGAUGCAGCAACGCCGCGUGGGAGAGGACGGCCGUCGGGUUGUAAACCUCUUUUAGCAGGAAAGAAGCGAAAGUGACGGUACCUGCAGAAAAAGCGCCGGCUAACUACGUG
Molecule: ribosomal RNA, 468 nt
Filed under: uncultured bacterium
Lineage: Bacteria
Description: partial 16S ribosomal RNA
Rfam family: Bacterial small subunit ribosomal RNA
Source: RNAcentral